UGUGCCAGCUCUCUGCUCACCCUGAGGACUUCUGUUUCAAACUACCAGAUCACGUGAGCGAUGACGAGGGAGCCCUACUAGAACCUCUGGCUGUGGCCGUGCACGCUUGCAACAGGGGAGGGGUCAAGACGGGGGACUGUCUGCUGGUGUGUGGGGCAGGUCCUGUGGGCGUUCUGUGUAUGUGGGUGGCCAAAGAAAUGGGUGCAUCCCAGGUGUUGGUUACAGGUGAGUU
Long non-coding RNA from Aplysia californica (California sea hare), 232 nucleotides. RefSeq lists it as uncharacterized. The transcript has 3 exons. Lineage: Eukaryota; Metazoa; Mollusca; Gastropoda; Aplysiida; Aplysiidae. The record is from RefSeq and is a predicted model, not a curated record.